Molecule: non-coding RNA, 4142 nt
Organism: Pantherophis guttatus
Lineage: Eukaryota; Metazoa; Chordata; Lepidosauria; Squamata; Colubridae
Source: RefSeq, a predicted model, not a curated record
CCGGAUUGGGGAGGUGGGGGGGAAGGAAGGCCUGUCUUUGCACUGCGCAUGCGCCCCUAGCAGAGGGCUGUUUAAACAGUAGAGUGGAGUUCGUUGAAACCGUUUGGUUAGAAUGGACCUUAGCAACGGCCGGCCCGUUUUAGCAGAUGUUGUAGCAUAUGUUGAAGUAUGGUCAUCCAGCAGAACAGAAAACUACUCAAAAGCCUUUACUCAACAGCUCCUUGAUAUGGGAGCAAAAAUUUCUAAGACUUUGAAUAAACAAGUUACUCAUGUGAUCUUUAAAGAUGGAUUCCUGUCUACUUGGAAUAGAGCUCAAAAAGCUGGAAUUAAACUAGUGUCAGUACUUUGGGUAGAAAAAUGCCGAGAAGUUGGAAUACAUAUUGACGAGUCAUUAUAUCCUGCAAUAAAUACUAAUGAAGGGUUACCUCCAUUUAUUAAAAAGCACAAAUGCAUGCAGCCCAAAGAUUUAUUUGAGAAAACUCCAGAAAAAGAUCGUAGAUUACAAAAAAAAAUGGAAACUAUGGUUAAAGAAUUAGAAAUGCAAAGAGCAGCAACAGAAACAGACAUACCAGUUUUAUUAUUUGAAGAAGAUGGUUCACUUGUGUACAGCCCAGCAAGUAAAAUAAAGUAUCAGUGCAGUGUAAUGGAGAGAAGAAUAAAGGACAUGAAGGAGAAAAGAGAAAAUGUUUCCCCUACUGCUUCACAGUUAUCUCAGAUGUCUGACACUGACCCUGCUGUUGUGUCUACAAUCUCAACUUCAGCAUUGACUUCAGAACUUGAGAAUAAUCACCUUUUGAAUUCAAGUUUUGCCAAUUUGGUUGGAAGUCCUGAAACCAAGAAUCUUGGAAAGAAAUCAAGCAACUGUUUAGCUAAUACUGAAAAUGUGAUGGAUGUUUCCAGAGCUGAAUUAUAUACCUCUUCUGAUUCCCCAAGUGACUCUCAACACACAGGCCUAAAGCGAUUGAGUGGUAAAGAUUUACAUAAAAAUUCAAUCCUACCUAAUGACAAAGGAUGUGAUUUCCUUGUCAAAAAGUCAUUAAUUGAUAUGCCUUCUACUCCAGAAUGCAAAGAUGGUAUUGAUUGGUUUUUAGCCAUUGCUGAUAAUCCCCUUCCUCAGGUGAAAAAUGUGGACCAUACCGUUUCCGUCGAAAAUCUGGUCCAUCGUGAAGUUAUUGAAAAUAACAACAACAGUAGUUCUGAGAAUGACUUUUCUUCAAUUAAUCUAAUUGAUACUCCAGUAACGACUAAAGAUUCUUCUCUUUGCAAACAACGAAAAUAUAGAAGGAAAUCAAGCCUUAGACUGAAGGCUUCUAUAUCACAUGAUAAAGAACCUCAGAAUGAUUUCUUACUUGCAUUGAUUACUCCAAUUAAGUCUGCUAAAGAUCAAGAUUCUUCUUUUGAAGAUUGUUUUUCAUCUUCUAACUUUACUAAAAAUAAAAUAAGAGCCAGCCUUCUUCCAUGUCAGCAAAAGUUACAGAAUGACAAGGAAAUUAAGUAUAAUUCUCCCAGAAGCAAAUUAGAAGGUAUGUUGCAAAAUUCUAGUCCAGUAAGUACAAGUUACAACAGAAAGAGGAAAAGAGUGACUGAGAUUACUGAGGAUACAGUUAGUGAGCCCACGCUAUCUACACUUCUUCAAAGGAGAAAAACCGGUGUAAAUUGUACAUCAAACACUGAAAAUGGAAACAUAGUAGAAACAUCAGACUGUUUUUUAAAUUCCAACAUUCGGGAACCAAUCACAACCAGUUCUACAGCUGAUAAUGCCAAAUUUUCAACGAGUGAUGCCAAAAACACUGCUUGUGAACCUUUGGGGAACCAUGUGAAUGAGCCUGAUAGGAAAUUAAAGAUUACUAGGAGAAUUGAAAAGCCUUUGAGAACAUUAGUCAUGACAAGCAUGUCCCCUGAGAUGCAGAAAGUAACACUGCAGGUGCUGAAGAAGCUGGGUGGUUUUCUGACUUCUGAUGAAGUAUGCAAAAAUACAAGUCAUGUAAUUGCAGGGAGCCCCCGCCGGACUUUAAAUAUACUUAUGGGAAUUGCUCGAGGCUGUUGGAUUGUCUGUUAUGAAUGGGUUUUGUGGUCUCUGGAACAUGGCUAUUGGAUUUCUGAAGAGCCAUUUGAAUUGUCAGUGGAUUUCCCUGCAGCUCCUAAUUGCUUGUUACAUUGUUGUGAUACUAAGAAUCCUCAGAAAGGCAAGUUUCAUUAUACCAGAACACUUUGAAUCAGCAUAAUUCAGAUCGAUUUUUUUUAAAGGUGCUAGAUUGAACACAAUCCAACGGAAUUGAAAACUUUCCACCACCAUCCAACAGCUGCAUCAUGCUAAAAUCCGAGCCAUGCCCAGUUAUAUGAUAUCAUGCCCUACCUACUAUAGCCUUGGUUGCUAAAAAUAUGCCUAACCAAAAGGUCUUAUCUACAGGUACCAAAUGGUUGUCCCUAUCUACCUAGAAUGCUACCUACACAAUUGCUCUCACAAUAUCCAACUGUUAUGGUCUUCAAGCCUUCUAGUCUCAGUGAAAAAUGCACAAGUUAGUGCCACCUUUGAAAUGAUUCAAGUUCUGAGUUAGCUGUCUAGAUAUUAUUUUGCUCUUGCCCCAGUAAGUGUGGAAACAGAUUUUAUAGUGUCUGUUCCAAAAUAUUCUUGUUCUAUAAAUAUUUGUGACUUGUUAAUAAGUAGUAAAUGACUUGAUCCAAAUCUAUUCCUUCCCUUAUUCCAUUAAAUGGCAUAUGAAUAAUGAGCCCAUGUUGAUUUUGCUCCUCCAGGAGCAAAUCUUGUUUGCAUAAAACAAGCUUAGCAGGAGCAUACACAAAUAUAGCAAGAGAGUGAAGACAAAUGUGAAAACAUGCCCUUUCCCCUCAGCGUUAAUGUUUACCAGAAGUGAGAAGUUCUUUUAUGUAUCUGAAUUCCUACCAAAUAAUAGUUGGGCUCAUUAUAAGUUCAAGCCUACCUUAUGCUAUUCUUAAGUAUAAACCUCUAUUGUUUUUAAUUUUGGAAAGCAGCUUGUUGAUCUCCAUUAUCUUUCCACCAAGAUGUCAACAACUCACUAUAAAAGCAAGAACUACGCAGCUGAAUGAAUGUGCUUGCUGUCCAAUUUAACAAACAGUAAGGUUGGCUUCUCAACACAUGGAUCCAGCCAACUGCCUAAGCAGCCAACAGCAGGUCACACACAAGGUUCAUGGAAUAAGUGAAAGUCACAAUUCCCUGAACCUCUCCAGCUGGUCCAGCUCAGCAAGAAAUGUUAAUAGUUCUGUUGACUAGCUGCCAUUCAAAUAUUUUGAGUAAAUAACAACAGAUUCAAAAUUCUUUGACGUGGUAUGCCAAAUAUUGAUACAGGCAAAAAUCAAUAUUUCUUGCUUGUACUGGAUUUAAAAAAGAAGCAUUCCCCAAGAUUGGUUUCAUUUUUAUAACGAGCGGUUUAAAAAUUGUUAUGAAUCUGGAAGGUUACAUAUUAAGAUGGAUGACUUGCUAUAUCUGGAAGAAAGAUAAAUGGGAGGAAGGAGUUCAAAUCCCUAGUUGGUUAAACUCCAUCGAAUUUGGAUAAGAGUUCAUAAUGGAGCAGAUUGUUUCUUUUUAGGGCGUUAGAGUCAGUACUAACCCCCGGUGACUGCCUGGACUACUCCCUGCAGUUUUCUUGGCAAGUGUGAUAGGCUGCAGGGAUGUGUUAAGAGGGGCUCAGGUUUGGAGUCAUUGCACUGUAGGAAGUGGCACAGGCCUGACCUCGUUCAGAAUUCCUGAAGCCUUAUCUUGCUGUUUGCAAUGGAAUGCAGUCAGUCUAGCGAGAUUCUUGUAACAUACUGGACCUUGUCCACUAUGGACAUAAAACUCCUAUUGAGACUCCCCAUAAGUGGUUCUAUUUGCUUUUGCCAGGUUGCCUGCUUCCUAGAGCUCAAAGAGAAUGACUCGCUCACGGUCACCCAGCUGGCUUUGGGCCAAAGUUUACCUAUCUCAUUGGUCUGAUCUGAAAUCUGCAUUUCUAGUUUGUUAGUUGAGAUAGAAUGGGCCAGCAGUUGAAGCUCCAGUCGUGUUGUCUGGUUUAACACCUACAUUUGGAGGAGGGAAAAUUUGAAAUAAAUGACUAUCAAUAUUGUAAAAAUAAUUACCAUAUAAUCCCAAUGUACCUAAAUUAUCAGAAAAUAAAUACUUUCUGAAA